AGCGAACGCUGGCGGCAGGCUUAACACAUGCAAGUCGAACGGUCCUUCGGGAUAGUGGCGGACGGGUGAGUAACACGUGGGAACGUACCCUUAGGUUCGGAACAACACAGGGAAACUUGUGCUAAUACCGGAUAAGCCCAUCGGGGGAAAGAUUUAUCGCCUUUGGAGCGGCCCGCGUCUGAUUAGCUUGUUGGUGAGGUAAUAGCUCACCAAGGCUACGAUCAGUAGCUGGUCUGAGAGGAUGGCCAGCCACACUGGGACUGAGACACGGCCCAGACUCCUACGGGAGGCAGCAGUGGGGAAUCUUGCGCAAUGGGCGAAAGCCUGACGCAGCCAUGCCGCGUGGAUGAUGAAGGUCUUAGGAUUGUAAAAUCCUUUCACCGGGGACGAUAAUGACGGUACCCGGAGAAGAAGCCCCGGCUAACUUCGUGCCAGCCGCCGCGGUAA
Molecule: ribosomal RNA, 447 nt
Filed under: uncultured bacterium
Lineage: Bacteria
Description: partial 16S ribosomal RNA
Rfam family: Bacterial small subunit ribosomal RNA
Source: RNAcentral